RNAcentral lists this ribosomal RNA (497 nucleotides) under uncultured bacterium. RNAcentral describes it as "partial 16S ribosomal RNA". It matches the Rfam family "Bacterial small subunit ribosomal RNA", at positions 28 to 507 of the family's 1533-position model. The record is from RNAcentral.
GAUGAACGCUGGCGGCGUGCCUAAUACAUGCAAGUCGAGCGAACAGACGAGGAGCUUGCUCCUCUGACGUUAGCGGCGGACGGGUGAGUAACACGUGGAUAACCUACCUAUAAGACUGGGAUAACUUCGGGAAACCGGAGCUAAUACCGGAUAAUAUAUUGAACCGCAUGGUUCAAUAGUGAAAGACGGUUUUGCUGUCCCUUAUAGAUGGAACCGCGCCGCAUUAGCUAGUUGGUAAGGUAACGGCUUACCAAGGCAACGAUGCGUAGCCGACCUGAGAGGGUGAUCGGCCACACUGGAACUGAGACACGGUCCAGACUCCUACGGGAGGCAGCAGUAGGGAAUCUUCCGCAAUGGGCGAAAGCUUGACGGAGCAACGCCGCGUGAGUGAUGAAGGUCUUCGGAUCGUAAAACUCUGUUAUUAGGGAAGAACAAAUGUGUAAGUAACUAUGCACGUCUUGACGGUACCUAAUCAGAAAGCCACGGCUAACUACGUG